This 568-nucleotide ribosomal RNA is filed under the name uncultured Methanomicrobiales archaeon. RNAcentral's name for it is "bacterial SSU rRNA". It matches the Rfam family "Archaeal small subunit ribosomal RNA", at positions 733 to 1300 of the family's 1478-position model. Lineage: Archaea; Methanobacteriati; Methanobacteriota; Methanomicrobia; Methanomicrobiales. The record is from RNAcentral.
AUACCCGGGUAGUCCCAGCCGUAAACGAUGCGCGUUAGGUGUAUCGAUGACCACGAGUCAUCGAGGUGCCGAAGAGAAAUCGUGAAACGUGCCGCCUGGGAAGUACGGUCGCAAGGCUGAAACUUAAAGGAAUUGGCGGGGGAGCACCACAACAGGUGGAGCCUGCGGUUUAAUCGGACUCAACGCCGGAAAUCUCACCGGAUAAGACAGCUGUAUGAUAGUCGGGCUGAAGACUCUACUUGACUAGCUGAGAGGAGGUGCAUGGCCGUCGCCAGUUCGUACUGUGAAGCAUCCUGUUAAGUCAGGCAACGAGCGAGACCCACGCCAACAGUUGCCAGCUCGUCCUCCGGGAUGGUGGGGACACUGUUGGGACCGCCUCUGCUAAAGAGGAGGAAGGAAUGGGCAACGGUAGGUCAGCAUGCCCCGAAUUAUCCGGGCUACACGCGGGCUACAAUGGGUGGGACAAUGGGUAUCGACACCGAAAGGUGAAGGCAAUCUCCUAAACCCAUCCUUAGUUCGGAUUGUGGGCUGCAACUCGCCCACAUGAAGCUGGAAUCUGUAGUAAUCG